RNAcentral lists this transfer RNA (72 nucleotides) under Candidatus Woesearchaeota archaeon. RNAcentral describes it as "tRNA-Tyr". It matches the Rfam family "tRNA". From Rfam's summary of the family: Transfer RNA (tRNA) molecules are approximately 80 nucleotides in length. Their secondary structure includes four short double-helical elements and three loops (D, anti-codon, and T loops). Further hydrogen bonds mediate the characteristic L-shaped molecular structure. tRNAs have two regions of fundamental functional importance: the anti-codon, which is responsible for specific mRNA codon recognition, and the 3' end, to which the tRNAs corresponding amino acid is attached (by aminoacyl-tRNA synthetases). tRNAs cope with the degeneracy of the genetic code in two manners: having more than one tRNA (with a specific anti-codon) for a particular amino acid; and 'wobble' base-pairing, i.e. permitting non-standard base-pairing at the 3rd anti-codon position. The record is from RNAcentral. Lineage: Archaea; Nanobdellati; Candidatus Woesearchaeota.
CCCCGCGUAGCUCAAUGGUGGAGCGUCCGGCUGUAGCCCGGAAGGCUGGCGGUUCAAAUCCGCCCGCGGGGA